Molecule: ribosomal RNA, 430 nt
Filed under: uncultured bacterium
Lineage: Bacteria
Description: bacterial SSU rRNA
Rfam family: Bacterial small subunit ribosomal RNA
Source: RNAcentral
AACGAACGCUGGCGGCAGGCCUAACACAUGCAAGUCGAGCGCCCCGCAAGGGGAGCGGCGGACGGGUGAGUAACGCGUGGGAACGUGCCCUCUUCUACGGAAUAGCCUCGGGAAACUGGGAGUAAUACCGUAUACGCCCUUAGGGGGAAAGAUUUAUCGGAGGAGGAUCGGCCCGCGUUGGAUUAGGUAGUUGGUGGGGUAAUGGCCUACCAAGCCGACGAUCCAUAGCUGGUUUGAGAGGAUGAUCAGCCACACUGGGACUGAGACACGGCCCAGACUCCUACGGGAGGCAGCAGUGGGGAAUCUUAGACAAUGGGCGCAAGCCUGAUCUAGCCAUGCCGCGUGAGCGAUGAAGGCCUUAGGGUUGUAAAGCUCUUUCAGGGGGGAAGAUAAUGACUGUACCCCCAGAAGAAGCCCGGCUAACUCCGUG